RNAcentral lists this unclassified non-coding RNA (387 nucleotides) under Hevea brasiliensis (rubber tree). The record is from RNAcentral. Lineage: Eukaryota; Viridiplantae; Streptophyta; Magnoliopsida; Malpighiales; Euphorbiaceae.
AGAUAGCACCCACAAGAAUACGUGGAGGCUUAAACAUACUGUUCCAGCUUAACGUCACCAUCGGCAUUCUUUUUGCCAACCUUGUCAAUUACGGGACUGCAAAAAUUAAAGGGGGAUGGGGUUGGAGACUAUCGUUGGGAUUGGCAGGGAUNNNNNNUUCUCUUGACUUUUGGGUCUCUCCUGGUGUCAGAAACUCCUAACAGCCUCAUUGAGCGUGGCCGUCUGGAAGAAGGAAAAUCAGUUCUCAAAAAGAUUCGGGGCACAGAUAAUAUUGAACCAGAGUUCCUGGAGCUUGUUGAGGCAAGCCGUAUAGCAAAGUGGCAAAAGAAGUGAAGCAUCCCUUCAGGAAUCUCAUGAGGAGGAGGAACCGCCCCCAGUUGGUUAUAG